This 497-nucleotide ribosomal RNA is filed under the name uncultured bacterium. RNAcentral's name for it is "partial 16S ribosomal RNA". It matches the Rfam family "Bacterial small subunit ribosomal RNA", at positions 28 to 507 of the family's 1533-position model. The record is from RNAcentral.
GAUGAACGCUGGCGGCGUGCCUAACACAUGCAAGUCGAGCGAAAAGACGAGGCGCUUGCUCGUCUGACGUUAGCGGCGGACGGGUGAGUAACACGUGGAUAACCUACCUAUAAGACUGAGAUCAUUACGGGAAACCGGCUAUAAUACCGGAGAAUAUAUUGAACCGCAUGGUUCAUUAGUGAAAGACGGUUUUGCUGUCACUAAUAGAUGGAUCCGCGCCGCAUGAGCUAGUUGGUAAGGUAACGGCUUUCCACGGCGAGGAUGCGUUGCCGACCUGAGAGGGUGAUCGGCCACCCUGGAGCUGAGACGGGCUCCAUAGUCCUACGGGAGGCAGCAGUAGGGAAUCUUCCGCAACGGGCGAAAACCUUACGGAGCAAGGCCGCGUGUGUGAUGGAGGCCUUCGGAGCGGAAAGCUCUCUUAUUAGUGAUGAACAGAUUUGUACUUAGCUAUGCACGUCGUGACGGUACCUAGUCAGGAAGCCCCGGCUAACUACGUG